CGCUGCGCGCCAUUAGUAUUAUUUGUAUUAUUUGUUGAGGGCGAGCAGCAAAUUCUCAAAUGGCAACGGAUUCAAUUGGCAAUGCUGUGGCAAUCAUUCAAGAAUUCUUCUGAUGACAAGAUAAAUUAUCGGUAUCAAUAGUUAGCAAGGGUUGGCAAGUGAAUGUAAACUCCGUAUUAGUUAUUUGAAUUAUUUACAAAAUACCAUGCGAGGUACGCAAAGCUUGCAAGUACAUUCAAUGCAGCAGGACCCCCAACUAGGCAGCCAUCCUCUACCCGGAUGGAAGGUAUGGUCGGACUGAAAAUUUUAGUAAGCAAGAAGCUAGCCCGAAACGAGCAGAAUGAAAAGAGUACAGGAGGCCGGAAACACUCCCAAAUGGCUAUACAACCCAUGAGUUUAUGCGGCCUUUCUGAGAUGAAACAUUAAAAUCGGUGCCUGAAACUUUUAUUCAGUUUCGUCCGAAAGUAAAUCAUCUGCGAUUGGCGACUCAAGUCGGCAGAUACUGUGCAAGGCGAAGCAAACCUAAUAAUAAUAAUAAUAAAUAAUAU
RNAcentral lists this small RNA (548 nucleotides) under Drosophila pseudoobscura pseudoobscura. Its description in RNAcentral is "GA32697". The record is from RNAcentral. Lineage: Eukaryota; Metazoa; Arthropoda; Insecta; Diptera; Drosophilidae.